CGCGUAGGCGGUUGAUUAAGUCAGCUGUGAAAGCCCCGGGCUCAACCUGGGAAUUGCAGUUGAUACUGGCCGACUAGAGUGCAGGAGAGGGAGGUAGAAUUCCACGUGUAGCGGUGAAAUGCGUAGAUAUGUGGAGGAAUACCGGUGGCGAAGGCGGCCUCCUGGCCUGACACUGACGCUGAGGUGCGAAAGCGUGGGGAGCAAACA
This 207-nucleotide ribosomal RNA is filed under the name uncultured bacterium. RNAcentral's name for it is "partial 16S ribosomal RNA". It matches the Rfam family "Bacterial small subunit ribosomal RNA", at positions 568 to 774 of the family's 1533-position model. The record is from RNAcentral.